UGAGGAAGGAAUUUGUCUCAGUCCACUUCCACACCUGUCCACCUGAGCUGGGCGUUAGCCUGAGCCUUUGCCUCUGUAUGGAUCCCUGACUUUGAGUUUUAUGCAAUUUCUUGUAUAAAAGGAGAGCCUGAGUCCAUGGAAGUUGGGAUUGAACAUCCUGAAUAUGCAGUUCCUUGGAGAGCCACCAAGAAAAGACCUAAGCAAGAGACAUGAUGUCACCUUCGGGGAGGAGGCUCUUCAAGCUGUUUGGCAUGAGAAGAGGAGGAAUGAGGAGGAUCACUGGCCUUGAACCCCCAAAGAGAGGCUAGAGCACCUUUCUAGGACCCAGUCCAGGGUUUGUCUUGAACAUCCAGCUCCAAAAGAGAUGCUGUGCAGAUUCAAGCUGCCAAGUCCUGAAGGACCUGAGGGAAAACCCAACCCCAAGCAGCCCAGAUGGUAUCUGAGUAUCCUGUGCCCUACCCACGAAGAUCAGGAGCCUAAAGGCUAGAGCUCACUGCAGAACCAGACCAAAGACAGUUUAAGGGCCAUUGAGCCAAGCCUUCCUGACCUCCCAUGGAGAGG
This 561-nucleotide long non-coding RNA is filed under the name Homo sapiens (human). Its description in RNAcentral is "novel transcript". The record is from RNAcentral. Lineage: Eukaryota; Metazoa; Chordata; Mammalia; Primates; Hominidae.